AGCAAGGUGGCUGGCCGGCAGGCCAAUGGCGGCCAACGCCACUUCCGGCCGCCCUCCGAGCAUCGCUCUUCGGCAACCCGAAGCCACAGGAUGGAGGAGGGGGAUCCCAGCAAAGAUCCCAGUUUCUGACCUGUAGCAUAGUCCCUCUCUCUGAAGAACUUCCUGUAAUAUUUUUUGCUAGGAAGAGUUUGAAGUUUGAAAUCCCAGAAUGAGGAAAUUCAUCCAGCUUGGAGACUUCCAAUCCCUUCAUUGUGCAGAAGGUUGCUAAUGCUCUCAGGAGAAGCCCUUCACCAAGAGAAUACUUCCACAUAGAGUCCUCUCCAUUGAGACUAAGGAAACAUGCUAUGUCAUGUAGCCACAGCAGCCUUUGCAGCUGUUGAAGGCAGCAAGACUUGCAUGGCAAUCAGAAGACACAGAACCAAGACUCAUAUCCAGUUAUAAGAUGGCAGAUGGGACACACACUCAUCAGGCUUAGUGAGCAGCCAAUCCAGAGGGAACCAUACUCAGCCCUAGGGGCUGGGCGCGGUGGCUCUCGCCUGUAAUCCCAGCACUUUGGGAGGCCAAGGCGGAUGGAUCACCUGAGGUCACGAGUUCAAGACCAGCCUGACCAACAUGGAGAAAUCCCAUCUCUACUAAAAAUACAAAAUUAGCUGGGCAUGGUGGUGCAUGCCUGUAAUCCCAGUUACUCGGGAGGCUGAGGCAGGAGAAUCACUCGAACCCGAGAGGCAGAGGUUGUGGUGAGCUGAGAUUGUGCCAUUGCACUCCAGUCUGGGCAACAAGAGUGAAACUCUGUCUCAAAAAAAAAAAAAAA
Molecule: long non-coding RNA, 811 nt
Filed under: Homo sapiens (human)
Lineage: Eukaryota; Metazoa; Chordata; Mammalia; Primates; Hominidae
Description: non-protein coding LINC00476:18
Source: RNAcentral